RNA transcript from Populus euphratica (Euphrates poplar), 2457 nucleotides. It is a transcript of the gene named squamosa promoter-binding-like protein 6, with no coding region annotated. The transcript has 6 exons. The record is from RefSeq and is a predicted model, not a curated record. NCBI's taxonomy places the organism in Eukaryota, Viridiplantae, Streptophyta, Magnoliopsida, Malpighiales, Salicaceae.
GGUCUCAAAAGCUACAAAAGACCUCGACAUGCUUUAAAGACCAGAAGGAGAGAGAGUGUAGUGGCAAUGGAAAUCAUGUUGACUCACAGUGUUUGUGUAUCCGCUCCUACCUCUCCAUUAUUUCUCUGAAAGAAAAUCAUUAACAAACUCUCUCCUCUACUACUUCUCAGCUGUUUUACAUUUGUUAUCCUGAUGGACUUCUGGAGCUAUGCUGCAGAAGGAAAAGGCCUUCUUUUCUCCGAUGAAAUAGAUUUAUCUGUUGAUGCAUUUGCAAGAAGUAGAAAAACAUUGAUAGGAUGGGAUACAGAAUCGGUUGAGAGUACUGAGUUUAUAGAUUUUGGUUUCUCUGAAAUUCCAAGAAAGCCUUUUCAUGGCAGCAAAACAGGUGUGGGUGUGCUUGGUGGUACUGAUGUUGGUAUUGAUUCGAGUAAACUAGUCGCAAGUUCUCCUAAUUGCAUGAUUGCAUCCAAUUCGUCAAUGGAAUCCGGGUCCAAUCAUUCGAAUUCUCUUGUGGAAUCUAAUAGUCAGGAUUCAUCACUGAUUGAUUUGAAGCUAGGGAGAUUGGCUGAUUUCAAAGAUGCACAAAGUAGCAAGUUUUCAAAAGAGAGGUUGUUAUCUUCUGUAAGUCCAACUGCCCAGGCAAAGCGUGCUCGAGCGACAUGUUCACGCCCUCAGACUACCUAUUGCCAGGUCUAUGGUUGUAAUAAGGAUCUUAGUUCUUCAAAGGAUUACCACAAGAGGCAUAAAGUUUGCGAGGUUCACUCAAAAACGCCUCAAGUUAUUGUUGAUGGCAAUGAACAGAGGUUUUGCCAGCAGUGCAGCAGGUUUCACUUGCUGGUUGAUUUUGAUGAUGGUAAGCGAAGUUGCCGGAAACGCUUGGCAGGCCACAAUGAACGUAGAAGGAAGCCUCAAUUGGGUACCCUCUCUGUCAAACCACAUAAGUUACUGCAUCCAUAUCAAGGCACCAAAUUUCUGGGGACUUCCUUGCCAAAGAAAACGUCUCUUCUUUUCCCAAACAUGCUUCCAGGGAGUGCUUUUUGUCCAGGAAAUUAUGAAGAAGAAAAUUGGUGCAGGCGCAUUAAAUUGGAAGAGAAUUCAAUUUACAGCUCUCCAUCUGCAAUACCCAUGGGAAAUGGGCAGUUGCCGCCGAAGUCAUUCCUCCAUUUGCAUGGCAAUGGGUUACAAAAGACUUGUGGAAGUUCUUCACCGGCAAUUGAUGACUGCAAUUUUUGUAACACAACAACUUUUCAUGAGUUAGCUGGGGCGUCGCACUCUAGCUGUGCUCUCUCUCUUCUGUCAGCUGAAUCACAGGACUUGAGCCAUUCUGCAGGAAAUAUAACGGCUAGGCCCUUGGUCAGUCAAGUGAGUCAUGCUUGUCAGAGCUUGGGUAUUGUUAACAAAUCUUUAGGGGUAGGCUCCUUGGAAAAGUACUUUCCAAAUGGACUUUAUCCGGCUGGAAUGAAUUUCAUUGAAGUUAAUGAUAUGGGGCCAUUUGUGGUUCCUGGUUCUGGUCACGCAGCGGACUUCCAAGUUGAAACAGAUGGAUUUCUACAACAGUCAGAUAUCUUGAAUGCCAAGUAUUGCGUUUCUCCUGAAAAUGGAUCAACUGUGGAUUUGCUUCAACUCUCAUCACAUCUUCAGAGGGUGGAGCAACAGAGGAACUCCAUGCAAGUGAAGCAUGAAAAUGAGGAUUUCUGCAAUUUCGGCUCUUCUUAUGGGGUGUGAGAGGACCAAGGUUCAAAGGAGAGAAUUGAUGGCAAGCUGCUUGCCUGCAUCAGAUAUAACUUACUAACUUUAUCGGUGCAGUAGAAAAUAGGCCCUUAAGAGACUUCAGCUUGCGUUUGCCGUACAUUCCUUUACUUGAAAGAAUUUUCGGCUUUUGUUCAUUGACACAUCGCAGUUUCGACGGACAAAUUUGAAGGGACAGAAAUUAGGGCUGUUAAUAUUUUGAUUAAAAGGGAUUAAACACUUGAUGCACUAGGUGACCUUUGAUUUAUAUUUUGAUUAAAUGCUCUUCUCCCUUGGUGUUGCUGAUGGAAAAUUAUGAUAACUCCUGCAAUUUUUUGUAUUAAAAAACAAACCCAUCCCUAAGUUACGGGAGCUUAGACCCAUCUGACUUGGGAGCGGAAUGCUUUUCCAUCUUUGAUAUUGUUGCUUUCUUUCCUCCACUUCCUAUUGAAGUAAAACGUGGGAGUGGCCACCUCAUCCACUAAUCAAAGGGAGCUCCUCCCUUUUCUUCUUGGUGGUCUGGAUUGUGGACGGUGAGUUGUAAAAGGAACGCAAAUUCAAAAGUUGAAAGGAUUUAGCCAUCAACUCCCCACUGGAAUCUUGUAUUUUUAUAAUGCAAAGCUCUGCAACUUGGCCUCAAAAGCGAGAUAACCUUGAGACUCAGCACGUCUUCGUUGUAAAUAAACAAGUAUUAUGUCUGCAGCCUCGUCUUGUUGGAUGUGCCCUGCC